AUUGAACGCUGGCGGCAGGCCUAUCACAUGCAAGUCGAGCGGAUGAAGGGAGCUUGCUCCUGGAUUCAGCGGCGGACGGGUGAGUAAUGCCUAGGAAUCUGCCUGGUAGUGGGGGAUAACGUCCGGAAACGGGCGCUAAUACCGCAUACGUCCUGAGGGAGAAAGUGGGGGAUCUUCGGACCUCACGCUAUCAGAUGAGCCUAGGUCGGAUUAGCUAGUUGGUGGGGUAAAGGCCUACCAAGGCGACGAUCCGUAACUGGUCUGAGAGGAUGAUCAGUCACACUGGAACUGAGACACGGUCCAGACUCCUACGGGAGGCAGCAGUGGGGAAUAUUGGACAAUGGGCGAAAGCCUGAUCCAGCCAUGCCGCGUGUGUGAAGAAGGUCUUCGGAUUGUAAAGCACUUUAAGUUGGGAGGAAGGGCAGUAAGUUAAUACCUCGCUGUUUUGACGUUACCAACAGAAUAAGCACCGGCUAACUUCGUG
Molecule: ribosomal RNA, 484 nt
Filed under: uncultured bacterium
Lineage: Bacteria
Description: partial 16S ribosomal RNA
Rfam family: Bacterial small subunit ribosomal RNA
Source: RNAcentral